RNAcentral lists this long non-coding RNA (1559 nucleotides) under Eurytemora carolleeae. RNAcentral's name for it is "uncharacterized LOC111708321". The record is from RNAcentral. Lineage: Eukaryota; Metazoa; Arthropoda; Copepoda; Calanoida; Temoridae.
GGCCUCUUAGUUCCUUGGUUUCCGGAGUAAGGCCCGUAAUUGGAUCCUCGGCCCAUUUGGCGUCCUCUAUCUCCGCCUCGGCCUCUAGGUGUUAUUGUUCCCUCUUGGUUAAUUGGUUCAACGACCUGUUCAGGGAAUAAGACUUCUUCUUCUUCUAAGUCUUCUUCAGUAAUACCUCGGUGCCCGAGAUGUGCAAGUUCUAGUGCACCCUGUUGGAGUCCACGGGGUAUACAUACUCGGGAUACUUCUAAUUCUUUGCUAUCUUUUGGUCUACGUAUGUACAGUAACUCAUCUUGUACAUAAAGGGGUUGGCCAGUUCCGGAUUUUUUCAACAUAAGAGUCAACCAUUUCUACUCCUUGAUUGGACACCUGGUGGCCAAGAUAAUCAACUUUGGCCCUAAAAAGAUGACAUUUAGCUAAAUUUACUUUCAUGCCUACAAUGGCGUGUACUUGGAGCACACUUUCUAAAUGGACCAUGUGUUCCUCAAUAUUAUUACUGAACACAAGUAUAUCAUCCAGAUAUGCUAUCGCAUAUCCGGGGGGUAAUCGGUUUAGAGCUUGUUGUACUAGCCUACAAUAAACAGAGGGUGAAUUAGAGAGGCCAAAGGCCAUGCGCUUAUAGCGGUAUGUCCCAAAGGGGCUAAUAAAGGUUGUAUAAUCUCUAGAUUCGGGGCUUAUAACAAGUGAAUGAAAUGCACCUGCACUAUCUAAACUAGAGAAAAUAUUUGCUCCAGAGAGUUUAUGUAAAUUCGACUCUAUAUUAGGAAGCGGAAAAACGUCCUUUUGUGUGGCUUUAUUUAAAAAUCUGUAGUCACAAGCCCAUCGUAGCUUGGUAGAGUUUUUCUUCUUACAAGGGACAAGGGCACUAGCCCAUUGGGACACGCUUGGUUCAAUAAUUCCUGCUGAUAGCCAUUCUUUGAGUUGUUGCUCUAAGUCUUUUUCUUGAAAGGGGUUUAAAGGUCUACAUUUUGCCCUAACUGGCUGGGUUCCAGGCUUAAGUGUUAUGUGAAAUUGUAAUUCAUCUGAUUUACCAAAGUCUUCUGGACCUACUGAGACUGCAUCAAAAUGACGCAUAAAUAUGUCAAUUACCUUCUCUUGUCCUUCUUUAUUGACAACCAUGUCUUUAACUGAGAGUUGUUUCCUUAAAAAUUCUCUUCUCUCUUCUAUUUCUUUAACUGAUAAUUCUUUUUCAGGACGGUGAUCUAUAGAGUUAAUCUCUGUUCUAAUUUGUUCCUUGCUGUGUCCGGGGUAUAUUUUUCCUAAUCGGACACGAGACGGGACGGAUCAUCUUCCUCAUCUGAGGUGUCCGUUGAUAGAUCAUCAAUCUUUGGGUCUACUGCGUCGACCUUGUUAACUUUGCCAGGCUGAUGGUCUGGGUUCGGAAAACUGAAACAUAAGAUAAUUUAGAGAAAAGAAACGGAGCUGUUCUCUUUCUAGUAACUCUUUAGUGUUCUCUUCCUAGUAACUCUUUAGGCUGAAGAAGAUGUCUGAUCCCUUGGAUGGGAUUCCGAGAAUCCCUUGAUAAGAUCGUCCAGAUAAUACCGGGCUUGAUACAGGAG